RNAcentral lists this transfer RNA (71 nucleotides) under Heterocephalus glaber (naked mole-rat). It matches the Rfam family "tRNA". From Rfam's summary of the family: Transfer RNA (tRNA) molecules are approximately 80 nucleotides in length. Their secondary structure includes four short double-helical elements and three loops (D, anti-codon, and T loops). Further hydrogen bonds mediate the characteristic L-shaped molecular structure. tRNAs have two regions of fundamental functional importance: the anti-codon, which is responsible for specific mRNA codon recognition, and the 3' end, to which the tRNAs corresponding amino acid is attached (by aminoacyl-tRNA synthetases). tRNAs cope with the degeneracy of the genetic code in two manners: having more than one tRNA (with a specific anti-codon) for a particular amino acid; and 'wobble' base-pairing, i.e. permitting non-standard base-pairing at the 3rd anti-codon position. Lineage: Eukaryota; Metazoa; Chordata; Mammalia; Rodentia; Bathyergidae. The record is from Rfam by way of RNAcentral.
GAAGAUAUAGUUCAAUGGUAGAGUGCUUGCCUGGCAUGCAGGAAGCCCUGGGUUCAACCCCUAGAUUUCCA